AUAUUCAUGAUUGUGCUCUUCUUAAUUGGAUUCUUGGCACAAAUAAUCAAUGAAUGGUACGCAUUGUACAUACAGACAAAGCAACUGGACCCUGCUGAGAAGUCCUUUUCGAUCGGUCUGAAAACUGCAUCAAUUGGAUUUCUCUUGUCUUUCAUCCCAGAGAAAAUGAGUAGAAACCUGGAAUGCAAGCUGCCAGGGAAUCCACAGCAAGAUAGAGAAACCGGAGGGG
Molecule: unclassified non-coding RNA, 229 nt
Filed under: Hevea brasiliensis (rubber tree)
Lineage: Eukaryota; Viridiplantae; Streptophyta; Magnoliopsida; Malpighiales; Euphorbiaceae
Source: RNAcentral